Sturnus vulgaris (Common starling) is the source of this 68-nucleotide non-coding RNA. The record is from RefSeq and is a predicted model, not a curated record. NCBI's taxonomy places the organism in Eukaryota, Metazoa, Chordata, Aves, Passeriformes, Sturnidae.
CGCCAGGGCCUAAUGAAGGUUUUAAUGUUUAAUUUAUUUUCCUCCACUAGGCUCUGUACUGUUGUGGG